UACGAAGGGUGCGAACGUUGCUCGGAAUUAUUGGGCGUAAAGCGCACGUAGGCGGCUUUGCAAGUCGGAUGUGAAAUCCCUCAGCUCAACCAAGGAAGUGCAUCCGAAACUGCAGAGCUUGAGUACCAAAGAGGAUCGCGGAAUUCCCGGUGUAGAGGUGAAAUUCGUAGAUAUCGGGAGGAACACCAGUGGCGAAGGCGGCGAUCUGGGUGGAUACUGACGCUGAGGUGCGAAAGCGUGGGGAGCAAACAGG
This 253-nucleotide ribosomal RNA is filed under the name uncultured bacterium. Its description in RNAcentral is "partial 16S ribosomal RNA". It matches the Rfam family "Bacterial small subunit ribosomal RNA", at positions 524 to 776 of the family's 1533-position model. The record is from RNAcentral.